GCACUGCUGACGAGUCCUAAACAGGACGAAACAGUUGUCUAGUGA
This 45-nucleotide non-coding RNA is filed under the name Echinostoma caproni. Lineage: Eukaryota; Metazoa; Platyhelminthes; Trematoda; Plagiorchiida; Echinostomatidae. The record is from RNAcentral.